GAUGAACGCUGGCGGCGUGCCUAAUACAUACAAGUCGAGCGAACGGACGAGAAGCUUGCUUCUCUGAUGUUAGCGGCGGACGGGUGAGUAACACGUGGAUAACCUACCUAUAAGACUGGGAUAACUUCGGGAAACCGGAGCUAAUACCGGAUAAUAUUUUGAACCGCAUGGUUCAAAAGUGAAAGACGGUCUUGCUGUCACUUAUAGAUGGAUCCGCGCUGCAUUAGCUAGUUGGUAAGGUAACGGCUUACCAAGGCAACGAUGCAUAGCCGACCUGAGAGGGUGAUCGGCCACACUGGAACUGAGACACGGUCCAGACUCCUACGGGAGGCAGCAGUAGGGAAUCUUCCGCAAUGGGCGAAAGCCUGACGGAGCAACGCCGCGUGAGUGAUGAAGGUCUUCGGAUCGUAAAACUCUGUUAUUAGGGAAGAACAUAUGUGUAAGUAACUGUGCACAUCUUGACGGUACCUAAUCAGAAAGCCACGGCUAACUACGUGCCAGCAGCCGCGGUAAUACGUAGGUGGCAAGCGUUAUCCGGAAUUAUUGGGCGUNAAGCGCGCGUAGGCGGUUUUUUAAGUCUGAUGUGAAAGCCCACGGCUCAACCGUGGAGGGUCAUUGGAAACUGGAAAACUUGAGUGCAGAAGAGGAAAGUGGAAUUCCAUGUGUAGCGGUGAAAUGCGCAGAGAUAUGGAGGAACACCAGUGGCGAAGGCGACUUUCUGGUCUGUAACUGACGCUGAUGUGCGAAAGCGUGGGGAUCAAACAGGAUUAGAUACCCUGGUAGUCCACGCCGUAAACGAUGAGUGCUAAGUGUUAGGGGGUUUCCGCCCCUUAGUGCUGCAGCUAACGCAUUAAGCACUCCGCCUGGGGAGUACGACCGCAAGGUUGAAACUCAAAGGAAUUGACGGGGACCCGCACAAGCGGUGGAGCAUGUGGUUUAAUUCGAAGCAACGCGAAGAACCUUACCAAAUCUUGACAUCCUUUGACAACUCUAGAGAUAGAGCCUUCCCCUUCGGGGGACAAAGUGACAGGUGGUGCAUGGUUGUCGUCAGCUCGUGUCGUGAGAUGUUGGGUUAAGUCCCGCAACGAGCGCAACCCUUAAGCUUAGUUGCCAUCAUUAGGUUGGGCACUCUAAGUUGACUGCCGGUGACAAACCGGAGGAAGGUGGGGAUGACGUCAAAUCAUCAUGCCCCUUAUGAUUUGGGCUACACACGUGCUACAAUGGACAAUACAAAGGGCAGCGAAACCGCGAGGUCAAGCAAAUCCCAUAAAGUUGUUCUCAGUUCGGAUUGUAGUCUGCAACUCGACUACAUGAAGCUGGAAUCGCUAGUAAUCGUAGAUCAGCAUGCUACGGUGAAUACGUUCCCGGGUCU
This 1372-nucleotide ribosomal RNA is filed under the name uncultured bacterium. RNAcentral's name for it is "bacterial SSU rRNA". It matches the Rfam family "Bacterial small subunit ribosomal RNA", at positions 28 to 1381 of the family's 1533-position model. The record is from RNAcentral.